AAUGGGAGCCGGGGAGCCGUCGGUAGCGGCGUAGGCCCGUGCCCCUGCUCGCGCUGCAGCCCGUGGAAGGGUUCCGUCCAGCGUAUCCUUCAGAUCUUGCUGUAGGCCUCUGGUGUCUGUGCGCGCGCGGCAGGGGCGGCGGCGGCGACGGCCGGAGGUGUACGGUCAGCGGGUUGCGGAGGAUCGUGCGGGUCGCAAAGGGAAGCCGAGUGCUCCUGCGGCUCCCAGACUGCAACCAGUUGCUUCCUCUACUGAAGUCUUGAAACCCCUGAAAGUCAUCCCUGAGGUUUGAAGUUAACUUCUUCUACACCCUGUUAAUGUUGAUAUUUUGACCUCCUUCCAUGAAUCAC
This 350-nucleotide long non-coding RNA is filed under the name Homo sapiens (human). Its description in RNAcentral is "non-protein coding lnc-KANTR-23:1". Lineage: Eukaryota; Metazoa; Chordata; Mammalia; Primates; Hominidae. The record is from RNAcentral.